UUUAAGUACAGCCAUAAGUUUUUAUGCCCAAUUUUAAUCGUUCGUCUUAUUUGAAUUUUUUUAAUUAGUAUUUUUAUUGUUAUAUGAUGAUAAAAUAUGAAUAGUGCUUUAUGCGUGACUUAUGUUUUAUUUUUUUUUCAAAAAAUUUAAAUAACACGGACGAUCAAAGUUGGGCACGAAAAACUCAUGGAUGUACUUAAA
Non-coding RNA from Oryza meridionalis, 201 nucleotides. The record is from Rfam. Lineage: Eukaryota; Viridiplantae; Streptophyta; Magnoliopsida; Poales; Poaceae.